This 569-nucleotide ribosomal RNA is filed under the name uncultured bacterium. RNAcentral describes it as "partial 16S ribosomal RNA". It matches the Rfam family "Bacterial small subunit ribosomal RNA", at positions 355 to 914 of the family's 1533-position model. The record is from RNAcentral.
UGGGGAAUUUUGGACAAUGGGCGAAAGCCUGAUCCAGCAAUGCCGCGUGUGUGAAGAAGGCCUUUGGGUUGUAAAGCACUUUUGUCCGGAAAGAAAUCCUUGGCUCUAAUACAGUCGGGGGAUGACGGUACCGGAAGAAUAAGCACCGGCUAACUACGUGCCAGCAGCCGCGGUAAUACGUAGGGUGCAAGCGUUAAUCGGAAUUACUGGGCGUAAAGCGUGCGCAGGCGGUUUGCUAAGACCGAUGUGAAAUCCCCGGGCUCAACCUGGGAACUGCAUUGGUGACUGGCAGGCUAGAGUAUGGCAGAGGGGGGUAGAAUUCCACGUGUAGCAGUGAAAUGCGUAGAGAUGUGGAGGAAUACCGAUGGCGAAGGCAGCCCCCUGGGCCAAUACUGACGCUCAUGCACGAAAGCGUGGGGAGCAAAACAGGAUUAGAUACCCCUGGUAGUCCACGCCCUAAAACGAUGUCAACUAGUUGUUGGGGAUUCAUUUCCUUAGUAACGUAGCUAACGCGUGAAGUUGACCGCCUGGGGAGUACGGUCGCAAGAUUAAAACUCAAAUGAAUUGAC